UACGGAGGAUCCAAGCGUUAUCCGGAUUUAUUGGGUUUAAAGGGUGCGUAGGCGGAUUGAUAAGUCAGUGGUGAAAGCCUGCAGCUUAACUGCAGAACUGCCAUUGAUACUGUCAGUCUUGAGUAUAUUUGAAGUGGGCGGAAUGUGCAGUGUAGCGGUGAAAUGCUUAGAUAUUGCACAGAACACCAAUUGCGAAGGCAGCUCACUAAACUAUAACUGACGCUGAGGCACGAAAGUAUGGGGAUCAAACAGGAUUAGAUACCCUGGUAGUCCAUACAGUAAACGUUGAUUACUCGAUGUGUGCGAUAAACUGUACGCGUCUAAGCGAAAGCAAUAAGUAAUCCACCUGGGGAGUACGCUCGCAAGAGUGAA
This 372-nucleotide ribosomal RNA is filed under the name uncultured bacterium. Its description in RNAcentral is "bacterial SSU rRNA". It matches the Rfam family "Bacterial small subunit ribosomal RNA", at positions 524 to 898 of the family's 1533-position model. The record is from RNAcentral.